Molecule: non-coding RNA, 3772 nt
Organism: Oncorhynchus mykiss (rainbow trout)
Lineage: Eukaryota; Metazoa; Chordata; Actinopteri; Salmoniformes; Salmonidae
Source: RefSeq, a predicted model, not a curated record
GAAUCUGAAAUACAUUUGCAUUGACAUAAUAGGCUACAAAAGUAUAAUUCUCUUUUGAUGACAUGUACAAUCAUUCUUAUAAUGGGGCCAUACAGCAUAGAGACGAUUAAUAACUGUCAUUUUGCAUUUUUCGCUUGUGUUGUCAUAUGGCUUCAGUCCAGCUCCAGUGCUCUGAUCUCAAAUUGGGCAUUGAGCUAAACAGUUCUUCUGAGAGGCGGUCCAGGCAGUCUGAUAGGCCAGUACCCUCUCUUUGUCCAAACUAUUUCAAUCGCAUUGAAAUCCCAUUUCAAAUAGAUACUGGUGAGGUCAAUGAACCUGAACUUAGUGUACCAAUAUAAUACAACUAUUAUUGUCAAAGGUAUUUUUGAGACCAGCAGUGCAAAUUACUCAUCGAGUUGCGCAACAGGACAUUUUUGUGGGAAAUAAUGUCGAGGAGGAAAGUGCGGAAUCAACGCCCCGCCGAGAGCGAGGAGGACUCUGAUAUUGACAACCUGUUAGCCGCUCUGACGCUCGCGGAGGUGGAAGAGCUGCAGAGCGAACUGACCGUUAUUGACCCGGAUCCAACUGUGCCAGUCGGACUCCGGCAGAAGAACCAGACAGACAAGCAGCCGUCAAUAAAAUACAAUAGGGGGGCAAUGCUUGACUACUGUGAGCGCGAAACCAAGAAACUCAUUCAAAGGGAGCUGUCCUUUGAGGAGCCAACGACUGACAGAGUGAAACGGGAACGCCUGAAGAAGAUGGGGAAGAGCUGUGAUAGUUUCUUCUACUUCAAGUCAGAUGACCAGGAUGAUCAGGAUGUCAUGGACCUAAACUUCUCUGCUGUGGAGACCCCUAAGGAGGACAUAUCCAAGGACGAAGAGGAAAAACCCCAGAGCAAGAACUUGAAGGGUGAGGGAGGGAGUGGAGAGGGAAAUGAGGAAAGGCCACAUAGUAGGUUAGGGGGAAAUGAGGACAAAGACCAUGAAAAAAAGGAAGAUAAGAUUGUUGAAAAAAGCAAUGAAGUACAGGUUGAAGAAAAUGAGAAAAAGGAGGAGUGCAUAAAAAAGGAGAAGGGUAGUAACAAAACACUUGAUCUUAUCUCAAAAUUACAAACAAAAAAAGAAGAUACAAAAGAAAGGGAGCAAAAAGAUAUCAGAAAAAAUACCGUCUCUAAAACCAAGGAUCUGAUUUCAAAGCUUCAAGGACAUGCUGAUAAAGACGAUACUAAGGAGAAAGAGAAGAAAGAAAAACCUAAAAAAAUGAAGGACAGCAAGAUCGCAAGAGGAAUUUUCUCUAAAGUAGAGGAAAAGCAGAAAGAACUCAGGGGUACUGAGGUGAAUGAAAAGAGGAAUGAUGAGAAGGACAAAGAUAGCGAAAACACCAAAUCACACAGGAAACCAAGUAGAGUCCAGGAUGAGACACAGAUAGACAGUGAAAAGAAGACAGAAAGGACUCCUAAUAAAAACAGUAAAGCCAGCAAUGUAAACCUAGAGAACAGUAGUAGGGAAGAACGCUCAGCUGGUGAAGUCAUGGAGGGAGGCGAGGAGGACGAGGAGGCCAGCAUGUUUGAUGAGCUCCUUGAGCAUGUCAGAAAAGACGACCCUUUAAUGACCGAGCUCAAUGUCAACAACUCAGACGUCAUCAAGACCCACACCCUCAUCCAGUUUGCAGAGGCACUACAACACAACACACAUGUCAAGACGUUUGCUUUAGCCAACACCCGAGCUGACGACCAUGUGGCUUAUGCCAUUGCUGGCACUCUGCGGAACAACACGUCUCUGACCAACGUCAUCCUUGACUCCAACCACCUCACUGGCAAGGGAAUUUUGGCCGUGGUACACGCCUUAGAGAAAAAUGUAACCAUCACUGAACUGCGCUUCCACAACCAGCGACACAUCUGUGGAGGCAAGACAGAGAUGGAGAUGGCCAAUGUAUUGAGAAACAACACCAGGUUGCUGAAGCUGGGCUACGGCUUUGAACUGGCCGGCCCAAGGAUGACCAUGACCAACAUCCUGAGUCGGAACAUGGACCUGCAGAGGCAACGUCGACUGGAGGAGAAGAAACAAGCACAAGCCCAGCCAUCCCAGCAGCCACAGCCAUACCAGCCAACGCGUCAGACACCACAACCACAGACCAACACAAAAAAGAACAUAUUGCCUUUGGGGAAGUUUUCUUGCGAACCUUCAACUCAACCCCAAUCCAAGUCUGUUGGUGAGACUAAGAGGACAGGAAACCUCCUGAAAACAUCUCCCUUUUUGUCCCCCCAUAACCCCUCACCUGAACCCUUCCACAAGGGGAGCUCCAAAGCUGUGGGUAAGCUAAACCCUAAGGCUUGGGGUAGUAGGUCUGGACCAGGGUCUACAACCCCUCCACCUCAGGCUGGGGAUGGUGUAUCUGGUCCUGGGUCUACACCACCUCCACCUCAGGCUCUUAAGGCUGGCCGAUCUGGACCAGCUCCACCUCCUCCCCCUGCCCCAGUGUUGGAGGGCCUAAGGAAAGCCCUCAUGCCUGCCUCACAGAGAAAACUCAACGGGCAGACUUCACGCCACGGAGAGAGGAACACUAGGGACCAGUUGCUGGACUCCAUUCGCAACAGCACAAUGAAAGCUCUAAAAAAGGUUGAUGUUCCAAAGCUGCUUCAAUAAAGGUAAGACAAAAACAGCCCUGAGCCACUGCAAAUGAUGCUGGUCAAUGGAGACUGAUACGGUGACAGUAAGGGCAUUCGGGAGAAAAGUGGGUCUGUCCUCACAUGUAGAGUAUCUGUGGUGAAAUUAUUUUACAACUGAAAACAUGAAAAUGUAUCUGAAGUUUCUCCUUUACUUGCCAGUUCUAUGCUGUGAUGCAAAAUUGAGCAAAUUUGGAGCGCACGGAUAUGAAGGUGGAGCUUUAGACAUUGAGUGUUCAUAUCCAGAUGGAUAUCAAUAUAAACCCAAAUACUUGUGUCGCCAUCCCUGUUCCAACAGUGACAUUCUCAUCAGAAGUGUGAAGGGUGAAGCAUUUGUCCCAGUAGGAAGAUUUUCAGUGUAUGACAAUGUCCAUGGAUGUACUUUCAUUGUCAGCAUCCAAAACCUGGAAUUACAGGACUCUGGACAUUAUUAUUGUGGACUUGAUAAGUGGGGAAGAGAUGUUUUAACAAAAGUAGAGAUCUCUGUGAGUAAAGCUCCAUUGGUCACUUCACUGUCUACACCUGCCCCUGUGAUUGACAGGAAGGGCACCACUGAAACUAACAAAUAUGUUUCCUCAGAGAUCCCCACCUUUACACAGGUGCAAUACAAAAAGUUACCUGUUGCAGAUUGGGAUGUCACACCUCCAACAACCUCAACUAUUCGGAUUGGUAGCCCAGGCUUUGUAUGUGUCCACGUUGUUGUGGGAGCUGUCCUUGGACUAUUGAUGUGUUGCACUGUGGUUGCACUUGGUCUACUCCUCAGAAAACAAUCAAUGUCACGCUCACUGACAUUUCCAUCAUCUGAAUCCGAUCCUGUAGAUAUUGCACAGGAUGAAGAGGACACUUGUCAUGUGUAUGAUGAGAUAAUUAUGAACAGCUCCAACAGUGACUUGUACUGCACCAUAAGGUUUUGUGAAACACCACCGGAAAUAGAAGACAAUGCUCUCUACUCCCUCCUGACACUAAAUGAACAAAGACCUCAGUGAGGGUCACAAGUCUCUAAUCAACAGAGGGCAUUCGCACAACACUGCCAACACAUUGAUGGUGGAUGUGCAGUAUCAUUAUUGAUAUUAUGUGUGUGUGUGUGUGUGUGUGUGUGUGUGUGUGUGUGUGUGUGUGUGUGGGGGG